This 301-nucleotide ribosomal RNA is filed under the name uncultured bacterium. RNAcentral describes it as "partial 16S ribosomal RNA". It matches the Rfam family "Bacterial small subunit ribosomal RNA", at positions 509 to 809 of the family's 1533-position model. The record is from RNAcentral.
CAGUAGCCGCGGUAAUACGGAGGGUGCAAGCGUUAAUCGGAAUUACUGGGCGUAAAGCGCACGCAGGCGGUCUGACAAGUCAGAUGUGAAAUCCCCGGGCUUAACCUGGGAACUGCAUUUGAAACUGUCAGGCUGGAGUCUUGUAGAGGGGGGUGGAAUUCCAGGUGUAGCGGUGAAAUGCGUAGAGAUCUGGAGGAAUACCGGUGGCGAAGGCGGCCCCCUGGACAAAGACUGACGCUCAGGUGCGAAAGCGUGGGGAGCAAACAGGAUUAGAUACCCCGGUAGUCCCUGUCUCUUAUAU